GCAUUAGAAGCCUUAACCAGCAAUGGAUUCAGUCAUUUAGUGCCAGCAAGGACAGUUACCAACUUGAACACUAAGAAACAAGACACACAUUUCUGGGCAAGUGAUGAGGUGGAAAGAAUAUUUACAGGACAUUGGGGUAUUGUUCAUGAGGGUUUAUCUCACCCUGCUAUACCAGCUGGAUGGAUGUUGAAUGGGCUUGUGAGUUUGCAUUGUCCUUUGUGGGUUGAGAUCUAUGUUCAGAAGAAUGUAAGAGAGAAUUACGAACAGCUUCCAAAUGGUCAACUGAAGGUAUUAUCAACUGAUAAUCAGGGAAAAACUGUUCAGCAUUUAACAAUGAAAGAUGGAAGAAGAAAGAAAAAUUCACCUGGAAGAUCAAAAAGCUUUAGGGGUUAUUUUCAAAGAUCCAAACAUCAAAAUAACAAAGACCUUUUAUCACGAUCUAAAAGUAUCAAUGCAAAGUUAUCAUAACUAUACAAAAAAGCUGGACGUAUUAAAAUGCCUAAUGUGUUGAAGAUAUUAAUGUAUCAAGUGGCCAUCAAAGAGAUGAAAGGUGUUUUUACUGAGGGAAGUGUUUUAGAGAUUUGUUAUAAUAAUGUUACUUCAUUCAUUCAUUCAUCUAAUAACAUUGUGUCUGUCUUGCUCUGUAUUUUUCAAACAUUUUUGAUUUUCAAUUACUGUUAAUCAUGUAGUUCAAAUAGGGUUUUUAGAAAUCACAUUAUUGUAACAUGUUCUUUCAUAAGGUAGGUUCUUUUAGGUUACUUGGUAAAAUUAAUUCCAAGUCCAAUUCACAUAAUAAUAAAGAAUUAGUUUGUUGCAUCUUUAAUUUUAGCUACAGAUUACUUAAAGUUGUAGGCUUAAUUCACAAGCAACCUUUGAACAGAAAUUCUUAGGCUAAUUGUAUGCCUAACUCACAAAUAAGCUCACUUGUUAAAUUUUCUAUCUCAUUAAUCGAUCAAAAACAGACACUUAACUCACUAUGUAGCUUAGUAACUGAACUAAAGAGCUGAAUAACUUACUGAGUGGCACUGAUUAUUUUUAUUGACUUACUAAAUACUUCACCAAUUCUUGUGCCCGGCAUGGCCAGGUGGUUAGGGUGCUCGACUCACAAUCUGCAGGUUCAAAUCCCCGUCACACCAAAACAUGCUCACCCGGUGUCCAGACUAGGAUGCCAGUCCUACUCCAGGAGACACACCUCCAAAAGAAUUUGGAGGUGUAAGAAACACCAUACACAACUACUACCAAUUCUUGUAUUUGUCAUACCCUCUUUUCUACACACUGCACGAAAUUCUAAAGAUACCUUAACUUUCAUGAACUUUGUAAAUAUUGCAUUAUGCACCCUCCAACAAACUAACAUCUAAAUUAAAAUAUAACUCGCAACAAUAUGUAAUGUACUGUUUGACUUGAGAUAGCUUCAGUGUGGUAGUUACAAUGCUAUUAACAAGUUUAUGGCUUAAUUGACUGUACUUAUCAGCAACCUCUUUUUACUUAUUACUAGACUUUAUUUUAUACCUGUAGAAAAAUUGUAGUUCUUCUUGUCCUAGAUAUGUCUCU
This 1551-nucleotide long non-coding RNA is filed under the name Limulus polyphemus (Atlantic horseshoe crab). Its description in RNAcentral is "uncharacterized LOC111088007". Lineage: Eukaryota; Metazoa; Arthropoda; Merostomata; Xiphosura; Limulidae. The record is from RNAcentral.